RNAcentral lists this transfer RNA (72 nucleotides) under Sus scrofa (pig). It matches the Rfam family "tRNA". From Rfam's summary of the family: Transfer RNA (tRNA) molecules are approximately 80 nucleotides in length. Their secondary structure includes four short double-helical elements and three loops (D, anti-codon, and T loops). Further hydrogen bonds mediate the characteristic L-shaped molecular structure. tRNAs have two regions of fundamental functional importance: the anti-codon, which is responsible for specific mRNA codon recognition, and the 3' end, to which the tRNAs corresponding amino acid is attached (by aminoacyl-tRNA synthetases). tRNAs cope with the degeneracy of the genetic code in two manners: having more than one tRNA (with a specific anti-codon) for a particular amino acid; and 'wobble' base-pairing, i.e. permitting non-standard base-pairing at the 3rd anti-codon position. The record is from Rfam by way of RNAcentral. Lineage: Eukaryota; Metazoa; Chordata; Mammalia; Artiodactyla; Suidae.
UCGCUGGUGGUCUAGUGGUUAGGAUUCAGCGCUUUCACUGCUGAGAACCAGGUUCAAUCCUUGGUCUGGAAA